CAGCAGCCGCGGGAAUACAGAGGGUGCGAGCGUUAAUCGGAUUUACUGGGCGUAAAGCGUGCGUAGGCGGCUUUUUAAGUCGGAUGUGAAAUCCAUGAGCUUAACUUAGGAAUUGCAUUCGAUACUGGGAAGCUAGAGUAUGGGAGAGGAUGGUAGAAUUCCAGGUGUAGCGGUGAAAUGCGUAGAGAUCUGGAGGAAUACCGAUGGCGAAGGCAGCCAUCUGGCCUAAUACUGACGCUGAGGUACGAAAGCAUGGGGAGCAAACAGGAUUAGAUACCCCCGUAGUCCCUGUCUCUUAUAC
Molecule: ribosomal RNA, 301 nt
Filed under: uncultured bacterium
Lineage: Bacteria
Description: partial 16S ribosomal RNA
Rfam family: Bacterial small subunit ribosomal RNA
Source: RNAcentral